UUAAGCGACUAAGCGUACACGGUGGAUGCCCUGGCAGUCAGAGGCGAUGAAGGACGUGCUAAUCUGCGAUAAGCGUCGGUAAGGUGAUAUGAACCGUUAUAACCGGCGAUUUCCGAAUGGGGAAACCCAGUGUGAUUCGUCACACUAUCAUUAACUGAAUCCAUAGGUUAAUGAGGCGAACCGGGGGAACUGAAACAUCUAAGUACCCCGAGGAAAAGAAAUCAACCGAGAUUCCCCCAGUAGCGGCGAGCGAACGGGGAGCAGCCCAGAGCCUGAAUCAGUGUGUGUGUUAGUGGAAGCGUCUGGAAAGGCGCGCGAUACAGGGUGACAGCCCCGUACACAAAAAUGCACAUGCUGUGAGCUCGAUGAGUAGGGCGGGACACGUGGUAUCCUGUCUGAAUAUGGGGGGACCAUCCUCCAAGGCUAAAUACUCCUGACUGACCGAUAGUGAACCAGUACCGUGAGGGAAAGGCGAAAAGAACCCCGGCGAGGGGAGUGAAAAAGAACCUGAAACCGUGUACGUACAAGCAGUGGGAGCACGCUUCGGCGUGUGACUGCGUACCUUUUGUAUAAUGGGUCAGCGACUUAUAUUCUGUAGCAAGGUUAACCGAAUAGGGGAGCCGAAGGGAAACCGAGUCUUAACUGGGCGUUAAGUUGCAGGGUAUAGACCCGAAACCCGGUGAUCUAGCCAUGGGCAGGUUGAAGGUUGGGUAACACUAACUGGAGGACCGAACCGACUAAUGUUGAAAAAUUAGCGGAUGACUUGUGGCUGGGGGUGAAAGGCCAAUCAAACCGGGAGAUAGCUGGUUCUCCCCGAAAGCUAUUUAGGUAGCGCCUCGUGAAUUCAUCUCCGGGGGUAGAGCACUGUUUCGGCAAGGGGGUCAUCCCGACUUACCAACCCGAUGCAAACUGCGAAUACCGGAGAAUGUUAUCACGGGAGACACACGGCGGGUGCUAACGUCCGUCGUGAAGAGGGAAACAACCCAGACCGCCAGCUAAGGUCCCAAAGUCAUGGUUAAGUGGGAAACGAUGUGGGAAGGCCCAGACAGCCAGGAUGUUGGCUUAGAAGCAGCCAUCAUUUAAAGAAAGCGUAAUAGCUCACUGGUCGAGUCGGCCUGCGCGGAAGAUGUAACGGGGCUAAACCAUGCACCGAAGCUGCGGCAGCGACGCUGAUGCGUUGUUGGGUAGGGGAGCGUUCUGUAAGCCUGCGAAGGUGUGCUGUGAGGCAUGCUGGAGGUAUCAGAAGUGCGAAUGCUGACAUAAGUAACGAUAAAGCGGGUGAAAAGCCCGCUCGCCGGAAGACCAAGGGUUCCUGUCCAACGUUAAUCGGGGCAGGGUGAGUCGACCCCUAAGGCGAGGCCGAAAGGCGUAGUCGAUGGGAAACAGGUUAAUAUUCCUGUACUUGGUGUUACUGCGAAGGGGGGACGGAGAAGGCUAUGUUGGCCGGGCGACGGUUGUCCCGGUUUAAGCGUGUAGGCUGGUUUUCCAGGCAAAUCCGGAAAAUCAAGGCUGAGGCGUGAUGACGAGGCACUACGGUGCUGAAGCAACAAAUGCCCUGCUUCCAGGAAAAGCCUCUAAGCAUCAGGUAACAUCAAAUCGUACCCCAAACCGACACAGGUGGUCAGGUAGAGAAUACCAAGGCGCUUGAGAGAACUCGGGUGAAGGAACUAGGCAAAAUGGUGACGUAACUUCGGGAGAAGGCACGCUGAUAUGUAGGUGAGGUCCCUCGCGGAUGGAGCUGAAAUCAGUCGAAGAUACCAGCUGGCUGCAACUGUUUAUUAAAAACACAGCACUGUGCAAACACGAAAGUGGACGUAUACGGUGUGACGCCUGCCCGGUGCCGGAAGGUUAAUUGAUGGGGUCAGCGCAAGCGAAGCUCUUGAUCGAAGCCCCGGUAAACGGCGGCCGUAACUAUAACGGUCCUAAGGUAGCGAAAUUCCUUGUCGGGUAAGUUCCGACCUGCACGAAUGGCGUAAUGAUGGCCAGGCUGUCUCCACCCGAGACUCAGUGAAAUUGAACUCGCUGUGAAGAUGCAGUGUACCCGCGGCAAGACGGAAAGACCCCGUGAACCUUUACUAUAGCUUGACACUGAACAUUGAGCCUUGAUGUGUAGGAUAGGUGGGAGGCUUUGAAGUGUGGACGCCAGUCUGCAUGGAGCCGACCUUGAAAUACCACCCUUUAAUGUUUGAUGUUCUAACGUUGACCCGUGAUCCGGGUUGCGGACAGUGUCUGGUGGGUAGUUUGACUGGGGCGGUCUCCUCCUAAAGAGUAACGGAGGAGCACGAAGGUUGGCUAAUCCUGGUCGGACAUCAGGAGGUUAGUGCAAUGGCAUAAGCCAGCUUGACUGCGAGCGUGACGGCGCGAGCAGGUGCGAAAGCAGGUCAUAGUGAUCCGGUGGUUCUGAAUGGAAGGGCCAUCGCUCAACGGAUAAAAGGUACUCCGGGGAUAACAGGCUGAUACCGCCCAAGAGUUCAUAUCGACGGCGGUGUUUGGCACCUCGAUGUCGGCUCAUCACAUCCUGGGGCUGAAGUAGGUCCCAAGGGUAUGGCUGUUCGCCAUUUAAAGUGGUACGCGAGCUGGGUUUAGAACGUCGUGAGACAGUUCGGUCCCUAUCUGCCGUGGGCGCUGGAGAACUGAGGGGGGCUGCUCCUAGUACGAGAGGACCGGAGUGGACGCAUCACUGGUGUUCGGGUUGUCAUGCCAAUGGCACUGCCCGGUAGCUAAAUGCGGAAGAGAUAAGUGCUGAAAGCAUCUAAGCACGAAACUUGCCCCGAGAUGAGUUCUCCCUGACCCUUUAAGGGUCCUGAAGGAACGUUGAAGACGACGACGUUGAUAGGCCGGGUGUGUAAGCGCAGCGAUGCGUUGAGCUAACCGGUACUAAUGAACCGUGAGGCUUAACCUU
RNAcentral lists this ribosomal RNA (2902 nucleotides) under Escherichia coli. Its description in RNAcentral is "bacterial LSU rRNA". It matches the Rfam family "Bacterial large subunit ribosomal RNA". Lineage: Bacteria; Pseudomonadati; Pseudomonadota; Gammaproteobacteria; Enterobacterales; Enterobacteriaceae. The record is from RNAcentral.